Molecule: long non-coding RNA, 1306 nt
Organism: Solanum dulcamara
Lineage: Eukaryota; Viridiplantae; Streptophyta; Magnoliopsida; Solanales; Solanaceae
Exons: 2
Source: RefSeq, a predicted model, not a curated record
UUAACAUUAUGUUUGAUUCAAAAAUAGCUUUAUCGUAUUAAAAAUGGUACAAAAAUAUCUUCUUUUCAGUUAUUAGAUCAAAUUUGCUUUUCAAUUAAUUUAUUAAGUUUUAUUACAAUAAUAACUAAGUUUCAAUUUCAAACUAAGUUGGUUGGUGAUAUGAAGCUACCACGGACCAUAUACUUCUUCAAGGACGAGAAUGGGGUAAUGUUUGGAAUGCGUGUAACUAAAUAGCACUUUUUGUUUGUAAUUUAGAUAUCUGCAGUCCCCCUUUGUGAUUAUUUUUUGGAAGUUUCUCGGGAAGGUGUUGAAAUUGGCUUGCCUGACGUACCGUCCCAAUGAAGUUACUGCCUAGCAUUUAGGGGAAGAAAUCAGGGGACUGAACAUGAUUUGAAAGAUAGAAAAGCAGAAAUAACUCAAAUAGGUAGGUCAAACUGCUCUUUGGAAGAUAGAAAGCCCAAUCUGUGAAUAAUGUCAUUUUAAUGGAGAUCCUGGCUGCACAUUGCAAGAAAUCCAGAAGGUGGGUAGGAAUUUACAAUUUGAUACAUUUUCUACUACUGGUUGCUUUCUCCAGAAGUGCAAUGGUACAAAUCGUGGUGGUGGUUCUGUUUCUGAUCUUCUGAUUCCCGACCAAGAACAGACAGGAGGUAAUUCAUCAAAUGUGAUGUGAAAUUGUUCGGACAGAUUCUCAGUAAACCAUGCCCUAAGCCAAAUCCUAGUUCCAAUGCACAGUGGAGUGAUGGUAGCAACCAGCAGUUGAAAGUUGGCAGCGAUUCGUUAAGUGCAAGUCAUAGUUUAGAUGGCAAUUCCAAAUUCGAGCGAAAUAACUUGCUGGGUUCUGAGAAUCAUCCAGUCAGGAGUUUUGGUUUUUGGGAUACAGACAGGGUUUGCUUGGUUGCCCGAUUCUGCUAUCCUGCUGGCAAAAUAUCCUGCGGCAUUUGGUAAUUAUGCGAUAUCUUCCACCAAAAUGGAGCAGCCUACUUUGCAUGGGGUUGUGAAGACCACUGGGCGGAAUUUGAACAAUUUAGUGGGCAGGCGGCAAGCAUUUGCAAGGGAAGCCAGUGUAAGGUCUCCGUGGCAAUUCUCUUUUUGCCACAAUGUACAAUAGUUUUUGUAAGUUUAAUCCAGGAAACCAUAGGGCAGUAGAUGUUGCCGUCUUUUUGGUUACAGAAUUCUACGUCUCUAAUAUUUGCCAGUAGCAGCUUUGUAUUUGUUGUAUUGAUGGAAAUACAGCAAUAAAUUAUCAAGAGUUUGGUAGGUGUAAGAAGUUCAGUAGGGGAAUCUUAUUAGCUCAGUUGGUUGAUUA